GAAAAUGCUCCUGUAAUCGCUUCGAAGUAUUAGGAGAGCAGAAACGUCAGAAUAUAUAUAUGAAAGUGCAAUAUUAUUCGUGCACAAUGUAUGGUGUGACUAUUACGAAUUCAAAUAACCUUAAUUGUUAUGGAUUCUUGCACUGUUGCAAGUAUACAUACUUUGGAGAAUAAUGAUUGUUCGGGAUGGUAACAGGAUUGUUCCUGUACUUCAGAGAUAACGGGACAAGUCUGAUACAAAUAUUAAUAGAAGUAUGCAUUUAUGCUGAUUUCCAAAUGAUGAUGUCUUUAAAAAUAUAAAUAUAGUGUUAUGGAUUCUUUCACUGUUGCAAGUUAUACAUACUUCGGAGAAAAAUAAUUGUUCAGGAUGGUAACAGGAUUGUCCCUGUACUUCAGAGAUAACGAGACAAGUCUGGUACAUAUAUUAGUAGAAGUAUGCAUUUACGCUGAUUUCCAAAUGAUGAUGUCUUUAAUAAUAUAAAUAUAGGAAUUUCCAAGAAUCCAGAACGAUGUGUCUAUCCAGAUUUUUUGUGUCUGCAAUGGAUAAUGCUGUGCAUUUUCUGUGUUAAGAACUUACGAUGGAUCGCCUCCAACGCAUACUAUAGGAGUACCUUUAACUGGAACUAACCUAUGAAGCACAAUUAACGAAGAUGAAAUAUCUGAGCAUGAACAUUAUAAUGAUAUAGAAAGCAAAUUGCCUUUGUACCUUUGGGAAGAAAUGAAAUGUCCGUGUCAAUAGUUGAAACUUAGCUUUAGCUAUGUAUGAUUUUCUUUAUAUUGACUUUUUAUCAAAAGU
Long non-coding RNA from Ctenocephalides felis (cat flea), 795 nucleotides. RefSeq lists it as uncharacterized. Lineage: Eukaryota; Metazoa; Arthropoda; Insecta; Siphonaptera; Pulicidae. The transcript is spliced from 4 exons. The record is from RefSeq and is a predicted model, not a curated record.